AGGGCAUGAAAGGGGGUGCGAAACAGUUCGAGCACACUGUCAUGGCGCUGCAUGCACUCGUUGCUAAACGUUACAAGUUUUUCUAAUCGAGUAUUUUUCGGUUUGAACAAAUUUUCUUAAACAUUUCGUUGAAAGUCGUGAAUCGAAAUUGUCAAAUUUUUUAAGCUGACCCAUAGAUUUCUAAAUUUUGGUCAAAAGUGAGUUUUGUAAAACAAGUCUUAGCUUAUUGGAACUGAGCUAGUGACUGGAGAUUUUGUUGAAUAAUUUUCUAAUUUUUGACGUAAGUGUUAAAGUGGUUAAUCCAAAAAUAAUCAGUGAUAGUUUUGAGAACAAAAAUAGUUUUAUCAGUGUCACUUGUCUCUAAAAUGACGAGCAACUGGAAAUUUUAGCACUGAAAUUAGUCGAAUUUUUCUUAAAACGAGGCAAAAAUUUGACGAAUAACUUUCUAACGGAGAAUAAGAACACUCUUUUUCAAAAAUGUCCUAGCGAAGGUCAAACUGUAAGUAACUUACCCAGUCCAAUCCCUUCACCCAGUCACCUGGAUCCCAAUUCAUUGGUUUGUUAUUUUAUUUAAGUGACAAUGUGCAAAGUACUACACAGGCACAGGUAGAAAAAAAAAGACACGCAGGCGUGAAUCCUAGCUUGGAAGUCCUUAAUCCCAGGGUGAUCCUUGCCCCGCCCGAUCCCUGAGUCUUGUCGAGUUGUUAUUAACCUGGAAAGGCAUUGCAGUUGACUAAAAUAAUUCAUGUUGAAAAGGGGCACAGGUGCAGACAGCUGAAACUGAGCUUCAAAACUUCAAUUCAUCAGGUAAUGUUCGUAUUUGAAAUUCGUGGCGGCUGAACAUUAUUUUACGUUGGCGCCAGCAGAAUAUAUAGACGAGACGGACAGCGGUGGUGGCGGCGAAACGGCAGGGGUACUAUGGGAGCUGGGGAAUGGAGGGCGGAGGAGGGCUACAGGCCACGGACCUCCACCGGCGGCUUAUCCAUAAAACGACAUCUAGAAGAACUAAGAGUUCACGAAGAUUUUUGCAGCCCUUAGAGAAUAAAUGUUCAGCGGAAGUUUCUUCUCUCGAUGACGAGAGAUCGAUUCCCUGGACAACAGCAGGCUUCACUUCCGGACAGCCCACCUGUCUUGGGAUCGGCAAAACACGGAGCAAGCGUCAAUCGACGGUCCAUGACAGCAUUACGUGGCCGUAUCUUAUUCAGGACAAGUUUGUGAGUUUGAAGCAGCAAAGCCAUCGACAAGAGAGUUUGAAAGCCUCGUUUAACAAUCUUAGUAGUGAGGCAAGUGUAGUUGAGAAUGUGGAUCAAGAGAACGAGAGGAUGGAGAGAAGAAGGUUACGAAGGUGCAGAGGCUUCCGACAAUUCACGGAUAUGCUCGUUGGAACGUUUCUACUUGGGGUUGUUUUACUCAUCACACCAGGUCUCUGUCAUCAGGAUGCAGUGCAUAUAACAGCUAUUUUGGGUGAAAGCGUAGUCUUCAAUUGUCAUGUUGAGUUCCCCGGUGAGCAUCCAGUGCCCUAUGUUCUUCAAUGGGAGAAGAAGGUAGGCGACACGGGGCAGGAAAUACCAAUAUAUAUUUGGUACGAGUCGUAUCCAACCCACAGUGGAGAGGGCUAUGAAGGACGAGUCUCUAGGGUCAGUCCAAACUCACCUUACGGAUCCGCAAGUCUCAACCUCACCAAUAUACAAGAAAAUGAUCAAGGAUGGUACGAGUGUAAGGUUGUCUUCCUCAAUAGGUCGCCCAACAGUCCCAAAAAUGGAACUUGGUUUCAUUUGGAUGUUCAUGCACCACCAAGAUUCACGAUGACUCCCGAAGAGAUGAUCUACGUUAAUCUAGGCGAUGCAAUUAUAUUAAAUUGCCAAGCAGAGGGCACACCGACACCGGAAAUAGUUUGGUACAAGGACGCCAAUCCAGUAGCGACUUCAAGUACCAUUGGAAUUUUUAAUGAGGGUACAGAGCUACGGAUUGCAUCAAUAAAAAAUGAUGAUAUUGGUGACUAUACGUGUAUCGCUAGAAAUGGAGAGGGCCAAAUUAGUCACUCUGCUCGUGUAGUAAUUGCUGGAGGAGCAAUAAUAAUAGUUCCGCCGACGAAUCAAACGAAGUUGGAAGGAGAAAAAGCGCAGUUUUCUUGCGAAGCAAAAGCUCUCCCGGGGAACGUAACCGUUCGUUGGUUUCGAGAAGGAGCACCUGUUACAGAGGUAUCUGCAUUAGACACUCGAGUAUCUAUCCGCAUGGAUGGAAGUCUAGUCAUCAAUCCAGUGAGUGCCGACGACUCUGGUUUUUACCUCUGCGAGGUAACUAAUGGAAUCGGGGAACCCCAGAGUGCUACCGCCUAUCUUAAUGUUGAAUAUCCUGCAAAGGUGACUUUUACACCUACAAUCCAAUUUUUACCGUUCCGAUUGGCUGGUGUCGUUCAGUGUUAUAUUAAAGCCAACCCUCCUCUACAAUACGUGACAUGGACCAAAGAUAAACGUCUUCUUGAACCUUAUCAGACUAAGGAUAUCGUUAUAAUGAAUAAUGGUUCUCUACUUUUUACUCGCGUUAACGAAAAUCAUCAGGGAAAGUACACAUGUACGCCUUAUAAUGCUCAUGGAACACAAGGUGGAUCAGGACCUAUGGAGGUUUUAGUGAGAAAUCCCCCGGUAUUUACAUUGGAGCCCGAACCGAUGUAUCAAAGGAAAAUCGGUGAAAAUGUUGAAAUGGCUUGUGAUGCUCAAGAAGCUGAAGGAACAGAAAAGCCAACGAUUCAAUGGCAAAGGGCGAAUGGCGCGCCCUUGGAACGCAAUAGAGCAAAAAUGGUGGGUGGUAAUCUGACGAUAGAAGGCUUACGUCGAAAUGAUUUUGGUUAUUAUCAAUGUGUUGCUUCUAAUGAAGUAGCAGUUAUUCUUUCAUCGACUCAAUUAAUCGUGGAAGGAUCUCAGCCACAUGCGCCUUACAAUGUCACUGGUACCGCCUCGCAAUUUUCAGUGACACUUCAUUGGCUUCCAGGUUACUCUGGAGGUCCCGAUUAUAAGCAAGAUUAUACGAUUUGGUAUCGUGAAGCCGGCACAUCAACUUGGAGAACUCCUAUACCAGUUACUCCAUCCGGUAGUACAUCAGUGACGAUCAAUAGUUUAUCACCAGGAACCUUAUAUGAAUUUCAGGUCGUUGGUAAAAAUGCUAUCAGCGACAAUAUGACCAGUAAAAUAACAACAAUAAAAACGCUCGGUAAAAUUAAUUCUUCACCCCGACGGACACGUAAUUACGACGUUGGCAUCUCACCUCCAGCAACUACCCCUAUAAAUACUGGAGGCAUCACAUCCGAUCAAAACGCUGGACCAAGACCUGGGCCUCCAAGAAAUUUAACGGUUACGGAAAUAAGCAAUGGUUUUUUAAUCACUUGGCAGCAGCCUUUGGAGAAAAGUCAUCUUAUCCAGUACUAUGAUAUUAAGUACAAAACUGAUGGACCUUAUAGAACUCUUAAUAAAGGACAAAUUCGACCUGAAGAAACUAGUUAUCUUGUUAAGAAUCUUGUCGGUGGAAGAACAUAUUAUUUUAGAGUAUUUGCACACGCAGCGACGACUCAUAGCUCGAGUGAUGAGGUAAAAUUCCCAGUGCCAGCUCGCGUCAAGCACAAGGCUAUCACUGCCGGAGUUGUAGGUGGUAUACUAUUCUUCAUUGUCGCAAUAAUCCUCAGUAUAUGUGCAGUUAAAAUAUGUAAUAAGCGGAAACGGCGAAAACAAGAAAAAGAACUGAUUUCAGCAUACAAUCUGGUAGCCUGCAGGCCGACAGAUGCUCGCAAUGGGGCUGGCCAAGUGCCCCCGGGAACAGUGCCUUUGAAAAAGUCGACAAACUUAAACGCGUGCGGCGAGUCAGUGUCGACGCUGACCCGUUGCAGCCCGCUGAACCCGCAACCACAACCUCAUCAUCAACCACUUCCUACGCAAGUAACCCCCGUGACAGUCACCUCGGAGCAGGUCCACGAGGCACCCUCGAAUCGUGACCGUGACCACCAUGCACUACAUCUCGAUAAUCGAGAUUACGAGAGCGUGUUUAUCAUAGAGAGGCGGAACAGUAAGCCCAAUCUCCGCUAACCAGACCAAUUAAAGUUUCAACCCGGACCGCAGAUAAACGCAGUCACACCACCUUACAGUGAUUUACCAUCUAGCAUGACCGACCAAUUGAUUUAUUGACUGAUUUUGUUUAACUAUUCAAUGAUAGAGUGCAUAACUAAUGAACAAUGUACGGACGAACUAAGAAAAGAUAAAAGAUAUAUUAAAUUAUUAUCAACACUCCGCUCUGCAAUGUUUACUACCUCUGCUAAUUAAUAGGACCUACUAAUCUACCAUCGAUACCUACUGUCUACUACUUAGUCAUGAGAUGAUUGUCAUGAGUGAUAACUCGAACUAUAGAUGUCAGAUGAACAUUCAGGCAAUACAGGCAAAACUAGGACUCAUUAGUUCUUCCAGUCAGUACCCAGAGCUUAUCUUCGCUCGGCGGCCUAGGGAUUUCUCAAUUUUAGACGAUCAAUAAAAAUGAAAUACACUCAUACACCGCACUAAAUAAAAAUCUAGAAAAAGCCGAGUACCAG
This 4573-nucleotide unclassified non-coding RNA is filed under the name Cotesia glomerata. Its description in RNAcentral is "protein turtle-like, transcript variant X4". Lineage: Eukaryota; Metazoa; Arthropoda; Insecta; Hymenoptera; Braconidae. The record is from RNAcentral.